Molecule: long non-coding RNA, 208 nt
Filed under: Capsicum annuum
Lineage: Eukaryota; Viridiplantae; Streptophyta; Magnoliopsida; Solanales; Solanaceae
Description: long non-coding RNA (CANN_LNC022536)
Source: RNAcentral
GAAACAUCAAACCAACCUACUGGGAGCGACAAAGCCUACCAUACAACGUCUUAAAAAGAGCCAUAUCAAUACUGAAGUGGUAACUAUUACUAUAUGUAAACUCUGCUAAAGCCAAAUGAUGUUCCCACUGUCCACCAAAAUCCAUCGCGCACGCCUGAAGCAUAUCCUUCAAGACCUGGAUAGUCCGCUCUGACUGGCCAUCAGUAUG